UAGGUGUAUGUCGGCAGCUCUGGAAGGGGGUAUGCAAUAAGAUAAAUUUGGGAACCUCUGCUCUAGAGAAUGGGUGUCAAACUUGUUUGCCCCUCUGCAAGCUGAAUCCAGAUCACAGGACUGCCUGGCAAGCCAGAAGACCCACUAGUGGUGAUGUUAGUCCCUGAAGCUGCCAGAACUGCUAUUUUCUUGCCUUUCUGGAACCUAGGGAGUUAAUACCACUGCCACUUGCCCCCCUGUUCUCCUGCUGCCAUUCUUAGAACAUGUACAGACAUUUGCCCUAGAGAAGCACCCUGGGAGUGAUUUAAUGCUGGUGGUUCCUAGGUUAUAUUUCUCCUGCAUUGGCCAUUUUUGCCUUGAGAGAAAAAUCCUGAAUGUCUGUACACUCUUGGUUUCUCCAGGGAGAGCAAUGACUCUGCCAGGAGAAAUGGAAUGUCUGUACGUGGCCUUAGUACCAAAAUCCCUGAUUUUGGUGGCAGAUAAGGAGGCGAGUGACUUUGAAUCCCAGGUUCUAGAGCUGCUGAAACAGCAGCUCUGGCAGCUGCAGAGAUUAACCAUUGCCCACAGAGCCACAGCAAUGAGCCCUGUAGUCCAAGUCUACCCUGUGGAGGUGAGUGGUCCAGCUUGUGAGAAGCCAGUGGGCUGUACAACCCACCUCUGUGAAUGCUGUUUGACCCCCCUGCUCUAGAGGGAGACUAUGUGAACAGGAUAGGUCUCAAGUGCUCCACCCUCUGCUGUCCCUUCCA
Gavialis gangeticus (Gharial) is the source of this 746-nucleotide long non-coding RNA. RefSeq lists it as uncharacterized. Lineage: Eukaryota; Metazoa; Chordata; Crocodylia; Gavialidae. The record is from RefSeq and is a predicted model, not a curated record. The transcript is spliced from 3 exons.